GCUGGGCAUGGUGGGACCUGUAGUCCCAGCUACUUGGGAAGCUGAGGUGGGAGGAUCGCUUGAGCCCAGAUAUUCUGGGCUGUAGUGUGCUAUGCCAAUUGGGUGCCCACACUAAGUUUGGCAUCAAUAUGGUGACCUCCCAGAAGCGGGGGACCACCAGGUUGCCUAAGGAAGGGUGAACCGGCCAAGGUCAGAAACGGAGCAGGUCAAAACUCCCGUGCUCAUCAGUAGUAGGAUCACACCUGUGAAUAGCCACUGCACUCCAGCCUGGGCAACAUAGCGAGACCCCGUCUCU
This 295-nucleotide signal recognition particle RNA is filed under the name Saimiri boliviensis boliviensis (Bolivian squirrel monkey). RNAcentral describes it as "Metazoan signal recognition particle RNA (ENSSBOG00000010530.1)". It matches the Rfam family "Metazoan signal recognition particle RNA". Rfam says of the family: The signal recognition particle (SRP) is a universally conserved ribonucleoprotein. Lineage: Eukaryota; Metazoa; Chordata; Mammalia; Primates; Cebidae. The record is from RNAcentral.